Amphiprion ocellaris (clown anemonefish) is the source of this 1611-nucleotide long non-coding RNA. RefSeq lists it as uncharacterized. The record is from RefSeq and is a predicted model, not a curated record. NCBI's taxonomy places the organism in Eukaryota, Metazoa, Chordata, Actinopteri, Pomacentridae. The transcript has 3 exons.
UGUUCAGACUGCUGUGGCUCUGAAGGCACUUCCUUGGCAACGCUUUGAUCCCUCUUCCGGUAUUUUAGGGGCCUGAAAUGAAAAAUUGCAAAACAUUUUUUAAAAAAGCAGACUUUAAAUCUUUUUCUUGGAAUUAAAAACAGCUUCAUUAAAAUCCAGCUCCGUCCAGUAAUGAUGAACCAAUGAAUCACUUAAUGUGAUUUACGUUUGUCAGGUUUCUCCAGGAUCUUAUUAUUAUCUCAUCCUUCACUGGACAAACGGAGAAUGUGUCAUCCUCCUCGGUUUUAUAAUCACUCCAACCCCCGAGUCAAACGGACAGAAACCACCUUCUACGUAGACAAACCGUCCUUUCACUCGCCGGUUACGACUAAUUGCUGUGAACACAUUCAGACCCGCUGUCAUCACAGUUCACCUGAACAAAGACUAGAACUACUCCUGUGACGACAGUCCGAGUCCUUCUGCCGUUUAUUGUCUUUAAGAUUGGCAUAAAAAGCACCAGACAGUAGAAAUGUUCCUAAAAUAACUCGGUCUGUGCAUCAUUUAUGGGUGAAAAAUAUCACCUUUUCAGGUUAAAUGACCAAAACAUGUCUCCGUGAGUCUCCAAUCAUCGUCUCUGAUAUUUGGAAUUUUCCAAUUAUUGGUAUCUGUAAUUUUAUUUAUUAAUUAUUGAUGAACUAAAUGCUCUACUUCAGCUGUGAUCAGCCUCCUCUCUCUGUCUGCCGUCACUCUGUGGUCUUAGAAACGUCUCUCAAGUAGUGAAAACUCAACAAGAAACCAGGAAAUUUGCUUCUCUAACAGCGGCUAAGGCUAUGCUAACAGCUAAAUAUAAUACACUGUAAUGUUGGACAGCAGCAUCAUCCAUGUUUUAUGUAUAUAUUGAUGUCUUAUGUUCAGAUUUGUGGGUCUUUAAUGCGCAUUUUGUCUGUUCAUUCUGCACCAGACCACAUUUCUGCACUCAGCUGAUGAAAGAUUCCAUGGUUUCUGAUUGGGAUUAUCAUGUCCAAUGUUUGGCAUUUUCCCAGUUAUCGGUAUCUGUAUUUCUAUUGAUCGACUAUUGAUUGAUUAAAUGCCUGUCUGCCGUUACUCUGUGGUCUCAGAAACGUCUCUAAAGAAGCAAAGACUCAACAAGAAACACAAACCAGGAAGUUAGCUGGUGUGGUAGGACGGCCACUCAGGUUGUGUGCAUUGAGUCAGGUUCGUGCAGCUGGGAGUAAUCAUCCUAAUGCACCUUGCUUGCUGGGCGGUGCCACGCCAGGUUAUAUCUGGGAGAGGGCUGCGCGUUUUGUACGUGCAUCCUCUUACCUCUUUCUGGAGCCUACGUGCCACAUCAGCAACGUGGCGUGGAUGUGUGGAUCCACGUGGCGGUCUCGAGACGCUGGCUGUCGAGCUUUCUCUUGUCAGAGUCGGGCCGUAUUCGGGCUGAAGGCUGGGAGCCGGGAGUAAUAAUUCACACGCUGUAUUGAAUUCCUGAGUGAUCAUGCUGCUUUCUUCCACGGCUGUCUCCCCUGUUGCCUGAGGAGCUGCGUCUUCACGGACGGCCGGUUCUAUCGCAGAAGCGGGCUACUGCUGUUCUGUCUGUGGUUCAUCGCGGCAAGCUCUCUGCUCAUCGGC